Molecule: transfer RNA, 67 nt
Filed under: Dendrothrips minowai
Lineage: Eukaryota; Metazoa; Arthropoda; Insecta; Thysanoptera; Thripidae
Description: tRNA-Asp
Source: RNAcentral
AGAGAAAUAGUUAAAUAAUAACGUUUCUUUGUCAUAGGAAAAUUGUUUAAAAAUUAAACUUUCUCUA